GCCCAUCUGGUGAUCCAGGUCGGACAUUCGCGCCCGGUAAGCGCGAGAGGAGGGUUCGAGUCCCUCGAUGGGCUCCA
RNAcentral lists this transfer RNA (77 nucleotides) under Kofleriaceae bacterium. Its description in RNAcentral is "tRNA-Thr". It matches the Rfam family "tRNA". Rfam says of the family: Transfer RNA (tRNA) molecules are approximately 80 nucleotides in length. Their secondary structure includes four short double-helical elements and three loops (D, anti-codon, and T loops). Lineage: Bacteria; Pseudomonadati; Myxococcota; Haliangiales; Kofleriaceae. The record is from RNAcentral.